AUACGGAGGAUCCGAGCGUUAUCCGGAUUUAUUGGGUUUAAAGGGAGCGUAGGUGGACAGUUAAGUCAGUUGUGAAAGUUUGCGGCUCAACCGUAAAAUUGCAGUUGAUACUGGCUGUCUUGAGGACAGUAGAGGUGGGCGGAAUUCGUGGGGUAGCGGUGAAAUGCUUAGAUAUCACGAAGAACUCCGAUUGCGAAGGCAGCUCACUGGACUGCAACUGACACUGAUGCUCGAAAGUGUGGGUAUCAAACAGGAUUAGAUACCCUGGUAGUCCACACAGUAAACGAUGAAUACUCGCUGUUUGCGAUAUACAGUAAGCGGCCAAGCGAAAGCAUUAAGUAUUCCACCUGGGGAGUACGCCGGCAACGGUGAAACUUAAAGGAAUUGACGGGG
This 393-nucleotide ribosomal RNA is filed under the name uncultured bacterium. RNAcentral's name for it is "partial 16S ribosomal RNA". It matches the Rfam family "Bacterial small subunit ribosomal RNA", at positions 523 to 918 of the family's 1533-position model. The record is from RNAcentral.